This 502-nucleotide ribosomal RNA is filed under the name uncultured bacterium. RNAcentral describes it as "partial 16S ribosomal RNA". It matches the Rfam family "Bacterial small subunit ribosomal RNA", at positions 29 to 523 of the family's 1533-position model. The record is from RNAcentral.
AACGAACGCUGGCGGAAUGCUUUACACAUGCAAGUCGAACGGCAGCACGGGAGCUUGCUCCUGGUGGCGAGUGGCGAACGGGUGAGUAAUAUAUCGGAACGUAUCCAAUAAUGGGGGAUAACUAGUCGAAAGAUUAGCUAAUACCGCAUACGCCCUGAGGGGGAAAGCUAGGGACCGCAAGGCCUGGCGUUAAUGGAGCGGCCGAUAUCUGAUUAGCUAGUUGGUGAGGUAAAGGCUCACCAAGGCGACGAUCAGUAGCUGGUCUGAGAGGACGACCAGCCACACUGGAACUGAGACACGGUCCAGACUCCUACGGGAGGCAGCAGUGGGGAAUUUUGGACAAUGGGCGCAAGCCUGAUCCAGCCAUUCCGCGUGAGUGAAGAAGGCCUUCGGGUUGUAAAGCUCUUUCGCAAGGGAAGAAAACUUAUCCUCUAACAUAGGAUGAGGUUGACGGUACCUUGAUAAGAAGCACCGGCUAACUACGUGCCAGCCGCCGCAGUAA